GUCUAGUAAGCACUGGUGGCACUCAUCGUUCAUGGCCGGUGCAAAGUAUGUUAGUAACGAUGGCCUCUCCCCAGGGACGACGACCCACCCCCUGCCGUCGCCACCUACAACCCAAGGACCGCCUCUUAUCGCCUCGACAAGGUCUAUGACAACCCGGCCUAUGAUUCCAACGCUGUGUGACGUCCAGACUCCUCCCACCCUCACACUCACUCACAAGUUAUACCUCUUAAUGACAUUAUUUGAGGAGUAUUUUUUGCCUUUUGCCUUUUUGGGGGUAAAGAUGUACAAAGGGAGAUGACACUGUGUGGAUUUGGUGUUUUUUGUGGAUGUACAUAUUUCACUCACACGCACAGGUACAUAGUAUACGUACACUAACACACACAUUUAACACGGACGUACAUACACAAACACACACACACACACAUAUAUAUAUAUAUAUAUAUAUAUA
Long non-coding RNA from Homarus americanus (American lobster), 448 nucleotides. RefSeq lists it as uncharacterized. The transcript is spliced from 2 exons. Lineage: Eukaryota; Metazoa; Arthropoda; Malacostraca; Decapoda; Nephropidae. The record is from RefSeq and is a predicted model, not a curated record.